Molecule: long non-coding RNA, 661 nt
Filed under: Homo sapiens (human)
Lineage: Eukaryota; Metazoa; Chordata; Mammalia; Primates; Hominidae
Description: HSALNT0156450
Source: RNAcentral
CGCAAGUCUGCUGAUGCUCCCGGCUGAAUAAACCUCUUCCUUCUUUAAUUCGGUGUCUGAGGAGUUUUGUCUGCGGCUCAUCCUGCUACAUCAAGGUACAAGAAAGAGAAUUUCCUGUGCUACAUCAAGCUCAUUGAUGGAAUUACAAAUAUGUUCCCAGUGUUUUUGUUGUCUUAUCAGAAGGGUUGAUCAGGAUAUGUAACCUACUGCAAAAGACAGAAUAAUGGCCCCCCCGAAAGAUAUCCAUGUUCCAGACUACGUCACAGUCUGGAACCUGUCAAUGUGUUACCUUUCACUGCAAAAGAGACUUUGAAGAUGUGAUCCAGGGAGAUUGUCCUGGAUCAUCUGAGUGAAUCUAAUCAUAUGAGUCCUGAAAAGUGGAGACCCCUUCCCAGCUGUAACCCGAGGGAGACAGCUGUGACUUUGGAAGAGGGGCCAGAGAGAUGCCACUAUGCUGGCUUUGAAGAUGGAGCAUGGCGCCAUGAUUCAACAGAUGCAGCAGCUUCUAGAAGCCGGAAAAGGGAAGGCAAUGGUUUCCCCCUGGGGCCUCCAGGAAGGAACGUAACUCUGCUGACACCUCCAUUUCAGCCCAGCGAGACCUAGGCUGGGCUUCUAUGACCUACAGAACCAUGAGAUAAUAAAUGUGUUGUGUUAAGCCCCC